This 253-nucleotide ribosomal RNA is filed under the name uncultured bacterium. RNAcentral describes it as "partial 16S ribosomal RNA". It matches the Rfam family "Bacterial small subunit ribosomal RNA", at positions 524 to 776 of the family's 1533-position model. The record is from RNAcentral.
UACGGAGGGUGCAAGCGUUAUCCGGAGUUACUGGGCGUAAAGGGCGUGUAGGUGGUUUCGUAAGUCUGGCGUGAAAUUUUUCGGCUUAACCGGGAAAGGUCGUCGGAUACUGCGGGACUAGAGGACGGUAGAGGCGUGUGGAAUUCCGGGUGUAGUGGUGAAAUGCGUAGAGAUCCGGAGGAACACCAGUGGCGAAGGCGACACGCUGGGCCGUACCUGACACUGAUGCGCGACAGCAUGGGGAGCAAACAGG